This 3111-nucleotide long non-coding RNA is filed under the name Homo sapiens (human). Its description in RNAcentral is "HSALNT0332695". Lineage: Eukaryota; Metazoa; Chordata; Mammalia; Primates; Hominidae. The record is from RNAcentral.
CUGUUGUUUAAGACUGUGUGUGGUAUUUUGUUAUGGCAGCCCAAGUGAAUAAGACAGUACCAAAUAGCUCUGGGCUGGCAGGCAUUGCUUUGGGUCAGUCAUACACAGAGUAGGUAUAUUUAUCUGUAAGAGAAACUCUACUGAUGCAAUCCAUGGUACACAAGUACCAAAGGCUGCGAGCGGUCACCGUUGAUUUGUCAAUGCUGUGGGCCCUGCCAUUGGUCCCAGAGUUAGUGUCAGCCAGUGGUCCUUUGGGGUCUUCCCCUCACCUCACCUUAAAUUUUUUGAUUCACAUUCCCUCUGCUUUGUUUGACUGCAUGAAGGUGGGACAGAUGCUGUGUUCGCAGGAGGGCACCAGUGUGCUUUUCUGUUUUCUCCCCUACUUCCCAAUCAUUCCAUCUGAAAAGAAUGCAUGAAACCAGAUUCUAAAGAACCAGCAUGUCUUUUUAAACUUCCUGGCCACCUCUUAGUGGGUGGAGAUCCCACAACAAAGCAGGAACUAUCUAGAGUAUAGAUGUCCGGCCAACCUGCUCACGUGGCCCAAAGGUGAGACCUGAGCUCACGGUUGCUAGCCACUGAGCACCCAGGCCAUGCUGAGCACAGGGCACCGCAGGGCAGAGACUUCUGAAGUUACAGCCUUGCCACUUAACGCGAGAAAGAGCUUCCCGAAGCCAGAAGCUCAACUAUGUGCUGCUCAAGAAUGGCAUGCUGGUGGUGGCAGGCAGCCUACGGAGGAACAGAGAAACGAUGUGGAGUAGCAGACCUGGCCUCAGUGUUACCUCCUUCUCCAUAACUGUGGGACUGGCAAGGAGAAAAGAAAGUGGGGCAACAACCAGAAGAGCCCAAAUGACUGCUUUUGUCCGGGCACAAAUAUCGCUAGUUAUGCCAUGCCCCCACUGAGCCUCUAGAUCCUUGUCAAAUCCUUUUCCGCAGACUAAAAUUAAUCAUUCACAUAUAAACAAAUGUAAAUAUAUUUUUAGCAUGCCUCAGAAAACCCACCUUCCUGUUGGGUUUUGGGGCUCUCUCUCCAAGUCAACUGGCAUAUCACAAAAGCAACUGCAACUGCUUAGAACUUUCCACCGCAUACAGGCGACUGUGACCCCAGGUGACAUCUGACUGUGGAUGCCAAAAUGACUUGUGUUGUGAGAUUACAAUCUCUAACUGCCUUGUGGUUUCAGAAGGCAGGAGAGGCCAGAACUUAAGAGAGGGUGAGGGCUUAAAAAUUCAAGGUGAGGAGUUCCAGAAAAACCCACACAUUUUGAGGGUCAUUUGUGUGGCUUCCUGCGGAAGGUUUUAAAAGCCAGAGCACAGUACUGUUGAGACGUUAGCCAGUGGAAAUAAAGGAAAUCCUCCACCCAGCCAAGCAGCUAGCUGGAUGGCAGCCCCCAGUUGGGGAUGGUAUUUCACCCUGUGAGGGCAGGCGGCAAAGGAAGAGAAACCGACCAACUGUCACCAAUCUGAAAGAAUUUGAGGGCCAGAAGGAUAACAGCAUGAUUUAAAAAAAAAAAAAAGUAUUCUUUUAAAGGCAUACACAGGACAUAUGAUCCCUAAGUAAUAGCUCGUAAUUAAUAAAAUAACUCUGUGUUCCUGCCAAAGUACUCUUUUUCUAACUCAUUUGCAGACAUUAGAUACCUCUUACCUCUUCUUUGCACUUAUCAUCAUUCCACGAAAAUACGAGAUUGGGGCAAAUAAGGAUUUGCAUUGACAGGACAUCUUGUGCUUUUCAAAUAGUCCGUUCCACCGAGAGGUUCCUUGACUUUGGCCUUCAGUCCUGACUUAAUUUCUUUGCUUAUGGGUAAAACAAGGAAUUCCUGUCACACUGCCAACAUCACCCCCUUUCUUCUCACCCCAAGGAGAGUGCAGAGAGGAGGCGAGACCAAGCCUGCCCAGAGUUGGAGUCUUGAGACGUGAGAUUCUCCAGCUGGAGCCCUAUAAAUUGGACUGACAAAAGACAGAUUAGCAAGAGAAAUGCAAGCAGCAGUUUAUUAACAUGUGCAUCAUGAUUACACAUGGAAGUACCCAGAGGCAGAAUUAAAGAUUCAAGAUGUACCUACUUCUUCCGGGGACAACAUUCAUGAUUCUUAAAGAUUUCACAAGUGUACCUUCUAAGGGUAAGUGGCUGGAAGUAGUAAGAGGUCAAUGCCAAGUGAAAUCCUCUGGCGUUUUCUUCUGACAACCAGGAGUCUGCAAAGUGUUUCACACAGCAAAGCCCAGGAGCACAGGUCUUGCAGCCUCUGGAUAACCAACUCGUCUCUCACCAGUGGUUCAAAAAAGCCCAUGCUAUCCUCAUCCAAAUAAACUUAUGAAAUGCUUUACCAAAUGAUUUGUUCAGAACAGUGAAUACUAGACACAACUUUGUGUGGAACAAGAGGAGAUCCAGUAAUGACAAUACAUCUUUUGUUAGAAAGACUUACAAAGGCUGUGACAUUCUUCUUUGAAGUGUUGUCAUUGUGUUGGAUGGGAUGAAGUGGUUCUAGGACACACAAAAAAGGAUCAAGAACAUCUGAGAAGACUACAGAUAAGUCCUUACUGCUGAUUUUGGACACAGGUCAGCCAUAUGAAGAUUCAGAUGAGCAGUCUGUGCUUCCUUUGCCUUAUCUCUCAAGAGCUGAGACCUUAUUUCUAUUCCACCUUGAACAAUUUUGUUUGAGUACAACAUAUUUACUGAUAUGGUCAGCUCAAGUCAUUGUGGAAUGAAUACUUAGAUGCUGCGUUCUUCCAAAAACUGAGCAGAACCUCCCUUCUGUGAACAUUUUCAAUAGGUUGUUUUCAAGGUGAGAAAGUGGGAGGGAGAAGGGGAUGAGCAUUGAAGUAAAUAUUUUUUUCUUCUUCUACUUUUGCUACUGGGAAUGUUCCUAUCCAGGAAGGCAGGUCCCCUUUUAUUUUAUCAGAUGCAGAGGAGUUAUCGUACCUCUGUUACCAAUUCUUUAUCCAUAAUUUAUGUUAGUAACAAGGGACCUGUUGCUAGCAGUUACUGAUGAAAACAAAAGCUGGUGGCUUUCUGGAAGAAGGGGGCGUGUGAUCUCAAGAGAGUUGCAUCAUGGCCAUACUCCUCUAAGUUUCUAAUUUUUUUUCCUUUUUUUUUUUUUUUGAGACAGAGUCUCAUUCUGU